AUCUGACAAUUGACGCGAGCCGUUCUGCAUAUUCCGCAGCUUUCUCGCGAUCGGA
This 55-nucleotide small RNA is filed under the name Sinorhizobium meliloti 2011. RNAcentral's name for it is "putative ncRNA". The record is from RNAcentral. Lineage: Bacteria; Pseudomonadati; Pseudomonadota; Alphaproteobacteria; Hyphomicrobiales; Rhizobiaceae.